Molecule: unclassified non-coding RNA, 382 nt
Filed under: uncultured bacterium
Lineage: Bacteria
Description: contains 16S-23S intergenic spacer region
Source: RNAcentral
UCCGGCUUGUCACCGGCAGUUUCUUCAGAGUGCCCGGCCAAACCGCUGGCAACUGAAGAUGGGGGUUGCGCUCGUUGCGGGACUUAACCCAACAUCUCACGACACGAGCUGACGACAGCCAUGCAGCACCUGUGCUCCGGCCAGCCGAACUGAAGGAUGGGGUCUCCCCCACCCAUACCGGACAUGUCAAGGGCUGGUAAGGUUCUUCGCGUAGCUUCGAAUUAAACCACACGCUCCACCGCUUGUGCGGGCCCCCGUCAAUUUCUUUGAGUUUCAGUCUUGCGACCGUAGUUCCCAGGCGGAGUACUUAAUGCGUUAGCUUCGGCACUGAAGGGGUCAAUACCUCCAACACCUAGUACUCAUCGUUUACAGCUAGGACUAC